AUGAACGCUGGCGGCGUGCCUCAUCCAUGCAAGUCGCGCGCACAGACGAGGAGCUUGCUCCUCUGACGUUAGCGGCGGACGGGUGAGUAACACGUGGAUAACCUACCUAUAAGACUGGGAUAACUUCGGGAAACCGGAGCUAAUACCGGAUAAUAUAUUGAACCGCAUGGUUCAAUAGUGAAAGACGGUUUUGCUGUCACUUAUAGAUGGAUCCGCGCCGCAUUAGCUAGUUGGUAAGGUAACGGCUUACCAAGGCAACGAUGCGUAGCCGACCUGAGAGGGUGAUCGGCCACACUGGAACUGAGACACGGUCCAGACUCCUACGGGAGGCAGCAGUAGGGAAUCUUCCGCAAUGGGCGAAAGCCUGACGGAGCAACGCCGCGUGAGUGAUGAAGGUCUUCGGAUCGUAAAACUCUGUUAUUAGGGAAGAACAAAUGUGUAAGUAACUAUGCACGUCUUGACGGUACCUAAUCAGAAAGCCACGGCUAACUACGUG
RNAcentral lists this ribosomal RNA (496 nucleotides) under uncultured bacterium. Its description in RNAcentral is "partial 16S ribosomal RNA". It matches the Rfam family "Bacterial small subunit ribosomal RNA", at positions 29 to 507 of the family's 1533-position model. The record is from RNAcentral.